GUCACUUCAUUCUUGUGAUUGUGUGCCUCUGACCUCAUGUGUUUCACCUGGGUUCAGUUAUUCCGUCUGUGUCAGGUCGUCUCUUCACUUUGGUUCUGUUCAGUCCAGCUCCUGUGUCUCUGUUUUGAGUUUCAGCUUUUGGAUCACCUGAGUUCUCUUACCAGCCUUCUGAGUUUCAUACUCAAACACGCCACAAAAAAGCUUGUAUGUAAAGACCCUGGACAUGGAAGCUCGAGCCUGCACUGGGCCUCCAACGUGCUACUCUAACCUCUGUAAGAGACUUCUUCCCCAAGAGGCUUCAGGAAAGUGUCAGAGGGCUUCUUCUGAGAUCAGUGAGCUGAGAGGCAAGGUGAUAAACAAACCCACAGGGGGCACUGUUUCCCCACCAACGAUAAAGCCCUUCACCUACCAACA
Long non-coding RNA from Paralichthys olivaceus (Japanese flounder), 414 nucleotides. RefSeq lists it as uncharacterized. The record is from RefSeq and is a predicted model, not a curated record. Lineage: Eukaryota; Metazoa; Chordata; Actinopteri; Pleuronectiformes; Paralichthyidae.